AUGACACUACAUAUGUGCACACACCAUGCAACAAUUCAGCUGAUGGCUCAUAGUAUUCCUAUUUUCGAAAUAUCUAAUUUUAGUUGCUACUUCCAUCAUCUAAAUAAGGACUCUGAUGAGGACAUCAAUACCACUGUUACACCCACAGCCCCUAUUGCUAUACAUACUGGACCAAUUACUAGAGCUCGCGCGCACCAAUUAAAUUACCAGGUACUUUCGUUUCUUGGUAAUGAUUUUGAUGUUCAUGAGAAUAUGAUGCUGCCUAAAUUGGAUACAUUUGUCUUGCUUACAAAUGAAGGGCCUAGCUCGGGUAAGAAGGAUGAGAAUUGGAGCAAGAUCAAGCAUGGAGAUGAUGGCAUGCGCAAGCGGAACAAAAACGGAGUUACAAGUGAUAUUCCAAGACUUUGA
RNAcentral lists this ribosomal RNA (408 nucleotides) under Triticum aestivum (bread wheat). RNAcentral's name for it is "partial small subunit ribosomal RNA". The record is from RNAcentral. Lineage: Eukaryota; Viridiplantae; Streptophyta; Magnoliopsida; Poales; Poaceae.